GACGAACGCUGGCGGCGUGCUUAACACAUGCAAGUCGAACGGAAAGGCGCUGCUUUUGUGGGGUGCUCGAGUGGCGAACGGGGGAGUAACACGUGAGUAACCUGCCCUUGUCUUUGUGAUAACUUCAGGAAACUGGGGCUAAUACAGGAUAGGAGCUCCUGAUGCAUGGGGGGGGUUGGAGAGUUUCGGCGGUAGGGGCUGGAUUCGCGGCUUAUCAGCUUGUUUGUGGGGUAGUGGCUUACCAAGGCUUUGACGGGUAGCCGGCCUGGGAGGGUGACCGGCCACAAUGGGCCUGAGAGACGGCGCAGACUCCUACGGGCGGCAGCGGUGGGGAACAUUGCGCAAUGGGCGGAAGCCUGAUGCAGCAACGCCGCGUGCGGGAUGCCGGCCUUCGGGUUGUAAACCGCUUUCGCCGGUGACGAGGCGUGAGUGACGGUAGUGGGUAAAGAAGCACCGGCUAACUACGUG
RNAcentral lists this ribosomal RNA (468 nucleotides) under uncultured bacterium. RNAcentral's name for it is "partial 16S ribosomal RNA". It matches the Rfam family "Bacterial small subunit ribosomal RNA", at positions 28 to 507 of the family's 1533-position model. The record is from RNAcentral.